Molecule: small nucleolar RNA, 91 nt
Organism: Takifugu rubripes (torafugu)
Lineage: Eukaryota; Metazoa; Chordata; Actinopteri; Tetraodontiformes; Tetraodontidae
Product: small nucleolar RNA SNORD60
Source: Ensembl
AGCCAAUGAUGACAAGCUAAACUAAACUUUUCUGACACCUACUAUGAGAGCUGUGCUGCAGCUCCUGAUUCUAAUGUUCACACUGAGGCUU